UUGCACCUGAAAUCAAAUGACAGGAACACGGACAUUAAAUCGUCUUUCUCCAGCACAGUCACUCGAUUAUAAAGGUACAAAACCUCCAUCUCGAACACUCUGUCGUCCACCAUUUCACCAUUCAGCACAAAUAUAUAGCGUGACGGAUGGAGGAGUGUGGACUCUCCUGCUUUGAAGAAAUAACGCACAAGAAAUCAAAUUGUGGACAUGAUUUGAAGUGACGAUUUCUGCCCAGUGUCUCUACAGCUCCUGUUUAUUUAACACUCUGGAUCGGAGACCACUUCAGCUCAACCCGUCAGAUGUGGACCUCAUGAUUAAUUCUCAAAUAGCUCUGGAGAUGACAGACGAGCAUAUGAAAUUGUUUCUAUAGAUCUUUCUGCCUUGUGCAUCGUAAGGUGGUCAACUGCACUAAUGUCUCACUGAGGGGAAGACCAAACUCCUAGAAACUGGCUGUGAUUCUUCUGGACAUCAAUUUUGCAAUUGACAUCUGCUUUCCUGAAGCCAAGAUUGAAGAUACACAUGAUUUCCUACAUGAAGUCAAAAGUGCUGCCCAGGGAACCAGUGUCCACCUUGAAAUCUCAAACUAAUAUCAAUGCACCGGCUGACUGCUUUAUUCUACUCACCAAGGACAGAUCUACCAUCAAAUGUGGGAGCAUCUUGCCAAGAUGUGGAAGGCUCUGAGUAAAGGUUAGCCAGACUUAAAGUGUUUAAGUCGUGUGUUGAUGUGAUCCUGCUCAGUGAGUCUCUACAGUUGCCCUUGAAAAAAACUGCUGAGCAAGAAAUUGGAUCAAAACCAAAACUGCAUGCUUCGUGCCACCGUUAAUAUUUCCUGGAAGAGCCACAUCGCCAAGGCCGUAUCUAUAGAACCAUUCAUUCAUUGAGUAGACUUAUCUUGCUGGUUUCUUAUUCACUAAAACUGUUCAUUUUCAUUUUGUUGGAGCACAAUGAAACCUAUUUUAAAUAGCAAGCAUGCGAGUGAAGAAAUGAAAAAGUUCCAUUAAAAACAAAACAAAACAAAAAAAAAAA
Long non-coding RNA from Haplochromis burtoni (Burton's mouthbrooder), 1026 nucleotides. RefSeq lists it as uncharacterized. The transcript is spliced from 2 exons. The record is from RefSeq and is a predicted model, not a curated record. Lineage: Eukaryota; Metazoa; Chordata; Actinopteri; Cichliformes; Cichlidae.